Long non-coding RNA from Nilaparvata lugens (brown planthopper), 521 nucleotides. RefSeq lists it as uncharacterized. NCBI's taxonomy places the organism in Eukaryota, Metazoa, Arthropoda, Insecta, Hemiptera, Delphacidae. The record is from RefSeq and is a predicted model, not a curated record. The transcript is spliced from 2 exons.
AAAAAAUGAAUAAUGUUUUUGUAAUUGUUGAAUGCCUAAGAACAAAAAUUAAUUUAGUUUCGCUUUUAGUUGGUGAUAUAUGUCCAGAUAUGUUGUGCAUAAGCGAACAACACUUACUAAUUCUAGAGCAAGAAUGCUAUACCGGUAGUACAAUAAAAAACUUAAAAUUCGCUACUGGCUUUUUUCGUUCUGCAUAUAGAUAGAAAUGGUGAAACCGCAAUCUAUUUGAAAGAAGGUCUUGAAUACAGUCUGCUGGAUCUAAGUCACUAUUGUGCUUAACCUGAUAUCGAACUGGCAGUAGUAAGAGUAGAAAGUUACUAUGUUUUAAUUGUAUCAGUUUACCGCUUUCCAAAUAGUGACUUGUAAAGUAUCCAGGAUUAUGGAUACAUGCCGGUCAACUUUGAACAACUUACAAAAGUAUUUGAGGGUGUUUUCCCUUCAAAAGUUCGUAAGUAAAACAGUAUUCAGCGCCAGAAUCCAAGGCAAAAUAAGUCCUGGUAUAGACCCAGGCUUUUUACCUC